CCCUUUCCUUAAUUAGUCUUUUUGAUCAAAUUCUUAAUCUAUAUAGUAAUUAAAUUUAAUCUAUUAAAUUCACAUACAUUUCACACUCAAUUCAAUGCAUAACACCCUUAAAUUUUUAUUAUUCACACAUUUCUCUAAACUUUUACAUUUUUUACAAUUUAGUCCCUAAACCCAAAAUUCUGAAUUUAACAAAAUUUUACAAUUUCCCAAGUCAAUCGAAUUUCUUCCUAUGUUAGGGCAGUCCAUAAUUCUUCACAAUUUACAAAAAUUCUAGAAAGUUUUAAAUAUUUUAUCAAUUAAAC
This 302-nucleotide long non-coding RNA is filed under the name Gossypium barbadense (sea-island cotton). Its description in RNAcentral is "long non-coding RNA (GBAR_LNC022849)". Lineage: Eukaryota; Viridiplantae; Streptophyta; Magnoliopsida; Malvales; Malvaceae. The record is from RNAcentral.